UACGUAGGGGCCUAGCGUUGUCCGGAAUUAUUGGGCGUAAAGAGCGUGUAGGCGGCCAAGCAGGUCAGCUGUGAAAACUCGAGGCUCAACCUCGAGACGUCGGUUGAAACCGUUUGGCUAGAGUCCGGAAGAGGAGAGUGGAAUUCCCGGUGUAGCGGUGAAAUGCGCAGAUAUCGGGAAGAACACCCGUGGCGAAGGCGGCUCUCUGGGACGGUACUGACGCUGAGACGCGAAAGCGUGGGGAGCGAACAGG
This 253-nucleotide ribosomal RNA is filed under the name uncultured bacterium. Its description in RNAcentral is "partial 16S ribosomal RNA". It matches the Rfam family "Bacterial small subunit ribosomal RNA", at positions 524 to 776 of the family's 1533-position model. The record is from RNAcentral.